AUUAAAUUGUAAUUAUUUGCCAUGCACUGACGUAGGGGCUAUGCAUGUAUUAUCUCAUUUAAUCCUCACAAGAACUGAAGAGGUGCAUUGGAUUGGCACAGUAUUACAGAUGAGGAAACUGACCAGGUACUAUGCUGGUCACUUUUUCAUAUAAAAAACUCACAUCAAAUUCCAGUCAAGAAGCUUCAAGACUGUAAACUAAGCAGCAGCUGUGAGUGUCCUUUUCACAGCUGAUACAUUGUUCAUCUUCCCACCCCACCUCCAAUGGAAUGUGCUGAGAGGUAAGAGUUCCAUUGUGCCUUACUGGAGACAUUUCAUAUACCCACAUAGCCAGCUAUGUUUUCCUGUAAAGCUGUGGCCAGCUUGGUAAUGCACACACUUGAAUUUGUUUCCUCCUGUGCUUUUUC
Molecule: long non-coding RNA, 407 nt
Organism: Globicephala melas (long-finned pilot whale)
Lineage: Eukaryota; Metazoa; Chordata; Mammalia; Artiodactyla; Delphinidae
Source: RefSeq, a predicted model, not a curated record